UGGGCUAUUAUAAGUUUGUACAAAUCUUCUAAAAACAGGGAUAGCAUUUCUUCUAUAAUGAAACCAUUAUCCAAAACCCAUCUACAAAAACAGCAAAAUAUUCUUUAUUGAAGAAAAAUAAAUCUAGUCCUAGCAGAAGAACCACACAUGACAUGGCUCUGAGAAAUCACAGGUGAAAAACAAAUCAAAUGAAACCGACUCAAAUGGGGAACAAGAAACAACAGGCAUGUACUGGUAUAUAAUAUAUAGAUAUCUACAGUGCAGAAUACAUCCAAAUCAAGUAGUGUUGCAGAAAAAUAAAAUAAUAAAACAUUUCAGCUAACUUUCCCCAUAUUUCCAGGUUCUCCAGGAAUCCUGGUUGGAAGAUGCUCGAUUUCUUCUUGUUCCCUCCAACCUGGAUUUCUGGAGAAUUUGGGAAAAAGUUACUGGAAUUUUGCUACACUAAAUCAUACACAAUUCCAACAGAUACAGGAAUGUUAUGGUCAGGAGAAGGGACAUAACAAUAAUGUGAUUGAUGAUUUUGUAAUGUUUCAUAACCAAGGGAAACAAGGGUUUGGACCAUGGAAAUAAACAACACUCUAGAUAUGUAGAGUGUACCAAUAUGUAUACUGAACAAAAAUAUAAAACGCAACAUGUAAAGUAUUGCUCCCAUGAGCUGAAAUAAAAGAUCCCAGAAAUGUUCCAUACGCACAAAAACCUUUCUCUAAUUUUGUGCACUAAUUUGUUUACAUCCCUGUUAGUGAGCAUUUCUCAUUUGCCAAGGUAAUCCAUUCAACUGACAGGUGUGGCAUAUCAAGAAGCUGAUUAAACAGCAUGAUCAUUACACAUGUGCACCUUGUGCUGGGGACAAUAAAAGGCCACUGUAAAAGUGUGCGGUUUAUCACACAACACAAUGCCACAGAUGUCUCAAGUUGAGGGAGUGUGCAAUUGCCAUGCUGACUGCAGUAAUGUCCACCAGAGCUGUUGCCAGAGAAUGUAAUGUUAAUAUCGCUACCAUAACGUCAUUGUUUACAUGUUGCGUUUAUAUUUUUGUUCAGUUGUGUCACAAUAGAGGAAUAUUUUACAUUCAAACAGAAAUUAGGAGAAUGAAUUAAUGUUCGUCUUUCAUCAAGGCCAUUGGAGAAACAGGACAAGUGAUCAAAUAGAGAGGCGAAACAGAAAGGUGGGGGAGAAAAAUAAGUGAUAUUAACAGGAAGUCACCAAGUGCCUGAAUUUAAGCCUCAGUCAGAUAAAUAACAACGUGAUAUAGUGAAAGCCUCGUCUGUAAUGCAGUAGCUGGAAUCAUACCGGCAUAGCAGACUUUACAAAUCAGGAUUAUAAAUAACAUACAUUGUGUAUACAUUUACACAUGUAAACAUUCUCCACCCUACUCUGACCACCUGACAGGCCACGGCAUAUUUCUGGUUUGAUACAGCAUGCGUGGACGACAUCCUGUUACUCUUUUUGGUUUGACUUGUGCUGAGAGCUACAGUAAGUCCCAAUGAACGCCAAGGAAACUGGAACUCACAGGACAUAAGUCGUGAGAGCUGCUUGCAUAUUUGUUUUUCCUAGGGAGGUUUUUACCGCAGUCACAAAGUCAAUUGUCUAUAUUAUAAAAAUGUUAUUUUUGGUGUUAAUUUAAGGCUAGGCAUAAGGUUAGCAGUGUGGUUAAGGCUAGGCAUAAGGUUAGCAGUGUGGUUAAGGCUAGGCAUAAGGUUAGCAGUGUGGUUAAGGUUAGGUUUAAAAUAACAUUUUAGGAAAAUGAAUUGAAGAAAUGGGCAGGGUUUACGACUUCACGGCUGGGGUAACUAGUAUCUCGCCCCAAAAUCUCAUAGGAAAAACUCAUUUGCGAGCUUCUUAGCUUACACUUCUGGGGCGUGUUCAUUAGGGUACACCAUUGAUAAUAGCUUUGAAAACUUUUGUAACGUAAACAUAAAUUGUUUGUUAUUGGACCAGUACAGUUCAGAGAACACUCGGCACCAUUAGGCUGUACCAGGUCUGCAGCCCUGUUAUAUUUUCUACAAAAUGCCUCUAUACCUUCCUUCCUUCCUAAUUGUUCUGAUUUUACAUGGUCUGUUGACUGAUGUGAUGGAGAGAAAACAACCACAUGACAGACCAGAUAGAAAUCAAGAAAGGACUGAAGGAUGAAUUCAACAGGAUCUGUCUUCAGGGUAACCAGAGGAAUACGGCCCUGUACACUGACCCAGGCAAACAGGAUCUGUCUUCAGGGUAACCAGAGGAAUAUGGCCCUGUACACUGACCCAGGCAAACAGGAUCUGUCUUCAGGGUAACCAGAGGAAUACGGCCCUGUACACUGACCCAGGCAAACAGGAUCUGUCUUCAGGGUAACCAGAGGAAUACGGCCCUGUACAGUGACCCAGGCAAACAGGAUCUGUCUUCAGGGUAACCAGAGGAAUAUGGCCCUGUACACUGACCCAGGCAAACAGGGGAGUCAUUUCAUUGGUUCCUUUUCGCCAGCAGAAUCAUGAUAAACCGGGGAAAGAUUGGUUUUGCUGCAAGCGUUGUACAUAAAAACGGUUGAACAGAUUCAGCAUAUUCAAUAAAACAGCACCAACUCUUUUAUUGUACACAUCGGACAGUCUAACAGAAGUUGUUUUUGGAGACUGACUUCCGCCCUCUUUGAAGCAGAGGCCCUGCCCUCACUGUUUCCUGCCCACUUCCUGGUUACGUCAAUAGAACCCCAGGGCCACGUUCAGCAGCCAAAAUUUUGCAAAUAGAAACACCAGAAAUAGAGCCAACAUGAUUCCUUAUUCUACAGGUCAGAGAGGCAUGUUUGUUCUACAUAGCAUAUUUCUAUCUGAACGUUCCCCAACAUUGCGUCUUGCUGAACGCGCACCCCCAGGGGGAAUGGAUCAUUAUCACUGUGGCAGAUGAAUUGUAAACAACAAGGCUGCGUUCAGCAGCGCACACUGUUGUGGAAUGUUAAGAUAUGUUUUUUGUAGAACUAACAUGCCUCUGACCUGCAGGAUAAGGAAUCAAAGCUCUCUUCAUGAUAUUUAUGUCUGCAACGCUCCACAACGUUUGGUUUGCAUACUGAAUGAGACAAUGACCCGUCUACCCGGCACAACGCCCCUCUACGUACAGCCCGUCUUCCCGGCACAACGCCCCUCUACGUACAGC
Molecule: long non-coding RNA, 3120 nt
Filed under: Salmo salar (Atlantic salmon)
Lineage: Eukaryota; Metazoa; Chordata; Actinopteri; Salmoniformes; Salmonidae
Description: lncRNA (ENSSSAG00000112385.1)
Source: RNAcentral